UGGGGAAUUUUGGACAAUGGGCGAAAGCCUGAUCCAGCAAUGCCGCGUGUGUGAAGAAGGCCUUCGGGUUGUAAAGCACUUUUGUCCGGAAAGAAAUCCUUGGCUCUAAUACAGUCGGGGGAUGACGGUACCGGAAGAAUAAGCACCGGCUAACUACGUGCCAGCAGCCGCGGUAAUACGUAGGGUGCAAGCGUUAAUCGGAAUUACUGGGCGUAAAGCGUGCGCAGGCGGUUUGCUAAGACCGAUGUGAAAUCCCCGGGCUCAACCUGGGAACUGCAUUGGUGACUGGCAGGCUAGAGUAUGGCAGAGGGGGUGAGAAUUCCACGUGUAGCAGUGAAAUGCGUAGAGAUGUGGAGGAAUACCGAUGGCGAAGGCAGCCCCUCGGCAGUCAACUGACGCUCAUGCACGAAAAGCGUGGGGAGCAAACAGGAUUAGAUACCCUGGUAGUCCACGCCCUAAACGAUGUCAACUAGUUGUUGGGGAUUCAUUUCCUUAGUAACGUAGCUAACGCGUGAAGUUGACCGCCUGGGGAGUACGGUCGCAAGAUUAAAAACUCAAAUGAAUUGACGGGGUCAUAGCUGUUUCCU
Molecule: ribosomal RNA, 587 nt
Filed under: uncultured bacterium
Lineage: Bacteria
Description: partial 16S ribosomal RNA
Rfam family: Bacterial small subunit ribosomal RNA
Source: RNAcentral